RNAcentral lists this unclassified non-coding RNA (236 nucleotides) under Hevea brasiliensis (rubber tree). The record is from RNAcentral. Lineage: Eukaryota; Viridiplantae; Streptophyta; Magnoliopsida; Malpighiales; Euphorbiaceae.
GGGCACCCCAUCAACAUAGAAGUGUUAUAUGAUAGUUCAAUGCUUCCUGUUGAGAAGGAGUGCUCUGAUCAGCUAAAAAACAGGAGCAGAAUGCCUCAACUUGUUUGGAGAACGUCAAAGAGAACUCCCGUCUGUUACACAAGUUCUACCUCUUCUGCAACUAAGUAUGAGAACCUUCAGCACAGCAGCAAGAAACUUGGAGAUUUAAGUUCCCAAGCUAGGAAAAAUGGUCUCUU